Erpetoichthys calabaricus (reedfish) is the source of this 543-nucleotide long non-coding RNA. RefSeq lists it as uncharacterized. NCBI's taxonomy places the organism in Eukaryota, Metazoa, Chordata, Cladistia, Polypteriformes, Polypteridae. The record is from RefSeq and is a predicted model, not a curated record. The transcript has 2 exons.
GAUUAAUCCGUUCCCAUGAAAAAAAAUCCUAUUGUUAUUGGCAUAUUAUACAUUGAUGGGGUUGUAUAAAAUAAUUUAAACACUGCUUAAUACUAAAAUACAUAAAUACAAAAGCAAUUAGAUGAAAUAAAUGAAAAUUUAACCUCACUUUAGUUUUUAAUAACGUCUUUGUUUUUCACAAUCAUACAUACCGUCAUUCUCGGCAUACGGUAUGCAGCAGCCAGGCCCCAGAUACGCAUGCCACCUUCAUACUUUUCAACAAUCAAUUCAAAUUUACGCGAAAAAACACAAAAUCAUGGGAAAAUUCACAAAGUUAUAGCGCGGGUUGUUCACUGAAUGCUAGUAACCGGCGUACUUACGCUCAUGGGCAGUCGUGGCUUUGUCACGCAAGUCGUAUUCCAAACAAAGGUCGUAUACCAAGCAAACUUUUUCGCGUCCAAACAGGACGUAUACCAAGUUGGACUUAUUCCAAAGCAGACGUAUACCGAGGUACCACUGUGUGUGUGUGUGUGUGUGUGUAUGUAUAUAUAUAUAUAUAUAUAU